RNAcentral lists this long non-coding RNA (2951 nucleotides) under Mus musculus (house mouse). Its description in RNAcentral is "long non-coding RNA chr16:23526878-23529829". Lineage: Eukaryota; Metazoa; Chordata; Mammalia; Rodentia; Muridae. The record is from RNAcentral.
UUUUACUUUCCUAUUUGUUUGGUUCUGGGUUUUUGCCGCAGUCUCCGACCUGCAGAGACAAGAACGACAUGGACACCAAGUCCGGUUCACACAGCAGAUUCUUCUUUUACUUGCAGCUUUUUCUCUUGCAGCUCUCUCCACUUAGGCAAGGGCAAUUCUCCUAUACUCCCGGUGACUGACCUCAACUAGCUCCACACCACCUCAUCCAAUCAGACUCACUCACGUUCCAGGCACGAGCUCAGGUCGGUCACAGAUAGGCUGACAGGUCCGGAUCACGCGAGGAUGCAGUUUUACUGUGCAUGUUUGGGCAAGGCGGUAAACAUGUGGGGUUCACGGGGCCUGGCAAUGGGCCAGGGCGCCAUCUAGGCCCAUGCAGCCGCACCUGCUUCCUGCACAUAUGCUUUUGAAUUUUUAGGUAACUUCUGUUAUUGAUUCAUAAUUUCAUACUAUUGUGUUUGAAAAAGGCCUGAUCUAAUGUCUUUUUUUUUCUUUUAAAAAUAUUUCUUAUUUUUAUUUCUCUGUGUAUGUGUGUGUGUGUUUGUGUAUGUAUGUAUGUAUGUAUGUAUGUAUGUAUGUAUGUAUGUAUAUAAUGGGCUCUGUAUGUACUUGUGUGUAGGUGCCAUUGGAAGCCAGAAGAAGCCAUCAGUUCUACUGAGGCUGGAGCUACAGGUAGUCGUGAAUUGCCUGAUGUGGAUUCUAGGACGGAACUCCAGUUCUCCACAAAAGCAGUAAGUGAUCUUUACUGCUGAGCCAUUGCUUCAGUGUCAAUGACCUUUAAAAAAAAUGGUCUUCUCUAAGUUGUAUAGUAUCAUGGAGAAUACAAGUUUCACUUGAAUAGAAUGCAUAUUUUGUGAAAUAUUUCCUUUGUGAAAUAUUAGUCUGUCUGGCCUAUUUGGGUGAUGAUAUUAUUCAAGUCACUCUUUUAUUAUUUCUUCUUCUGUCUGUAUGAUCUACUCAUAGUUGGAAAGGAGGCAGUGAAAUUAACUAGUAUUGUACUUCAGUCUAUUCUUUUUAGAUGGUUUUUAAUGCUACUCUGUGGAUACUAUUUUAUGUCAUCAUAGUGUUUAAGGUCUGAAAUCAAACAAUUAUAAGUUGUUGAGUAUCUAUAUUUCAACUUGAUUUUAUAUUUCUCUUUGAGGUUGGUUCAUAAUUCCAAAAAAUGCAGUUCUGAAUAUAUAUAAUAAUUAAAAUAAUCAUGAAUAUUGGGAUCCCCGAAGUUCAAAAUUCUCCAAGUGUGACUUAAAAUUUGUUAAGAGAGAUUCACAUCUUAAAAGAAGAUUUGAGAAACACACAAAACCUUUUUGAAAUCGGCAGUAAGGAAAGAUGUAGUGUUAGAAGCACCCUGUUCAAGCAUUCCUAUGACAGCAUCAAAGCAUAAUGCUUACCAGCAGUGAAAUCGUAGUCACGGAGAAAACAGGUCACAAGUGAAAUGUGUGAACACAGAUCACUACGGCUGUUAACUGUGUCACUAGGCUGUAUGCGCAGUCUUCUACAAUGUCUGAAUGGAUAACCUAAAUCAGGAGAUGUAUUGAAAUCAGUGAUUCUUGAUCACAAGGCCAGCCAACACACAUCUCAGGCUCUCUAAAGGACAGAAUGAUGGCUGAUCUUAGAAUAUAAACCUCUGGGUUUCCCCUGGUGUGGGGGAUGAGGAAGUCAACCUGAUGAAGGAAAAGGUGGGGUGGAGAGCAAGGUGCCCAGGCUCCUGUGACUCCUCAAAGAGUCCUGAUCUGCAUUAGAUCUAAGAUAGCACCUGGAACAUGGGUGAGCCAGCAUAAAGGAGCAGAGGUCAAGGUGGUGGCUGCUUCCCCUAUCUUCAUGGAAGUCCAAAUAGGUGACAAAGCUGCACACCCCCGUCCCUGCCCUUCUGAGUUACCUCAUCAGGCAGGGCUUUUAUUGGGGCACUGUGAUGGUGUGGUGAGAUACGAUUGGUGGAGGAUUUAGGGCCUUAGGAUUGGUUCAAACACUAUAUAUGCACUUAUGUGCUGGACAAUAAACUUAGUUCUGCACCCUGAUGCUGGUCUCCAGAGUCUGAUUUCCCAAGAAUCACGUGAUGAUGCGAUUAAGUUGCUUUUCAUCCUCCAUCCUUGGUCCUGUUCCCACACCCUGAUGCAUAUUUAGACAACGAAUACAGAAGAAAUAGCAAAGCCCCAUUCAAACCCUUCUUCAGAUCAAGGAACACAGUAGAGAUUUACAGCAUUGAAGGCUAAAGGAGUUGGAGGUCGGGGCAAGAUGUUUUUGCACUGACAAUAGUAAUGGAUGACCACCUGCAACCUUUAACUGUUGGAACCAGUUAGGGCCUCAGUCCAGAAAUGGGGGUUUUCUGUGUUCUCUAACAACUCUGUAGUGUCUCGGAACUGCAGCUCCUCCCACCUCCAUGUAGCAUUUUGUUGAGGUCUGCAACAUCUCUGGAGUAUCUCUUGGUUUUGGCAGGAGGUUCCAACUUCUUUUGGUAAUGUUUGGAAUAUCAACCACAUUUUGGACAUGUGAAUGAGCCCACACAAUUUCACUCGGCUUGUUGGCACUUGCACAAAAUUAUCUCCUUCUUUCACAAAAUUGCCUGGAACCAAUAAAAGGCAGCUCAGCCUCCGAAAUAAAUUCAUGGCUGUUCACCACCAAAUGUGAUCUCAGACAAGAUGUGAUCGCCAGAAAUUUUAUGGUUCACAAAUCUAGAUAUACAAAAAGGGCCUUUCUUUGUUUAUUGAAGAGAUGUCAAUGUUUUUAUAAACAUGCAGAAUUCUUAUACACAAAGCCAACUUUGUGAUAAUGUAUUCUUAUGGAGUUAAAUCAUCCCAUCUUUCCCACAAAAAAAGGGCAUGAAAUGAAUUAGAACUCUCUAGAAGCCUUUACAAUUUAUAGUCUCCAUAUUAGAAAAAAAUGGAUGGAUAAAAUGCACAGCACAAGGAAUUGUAAGAGAUGUUGCUCAUUGAAAAUAGUAGAAAAAACUAUGCAGU